UACGGAGGGGACUAGCGUUGUUCGGAAUUACUGGGCGUAAAGCGCACGUAGGCGGAUUUGUAAGUCAGGGGUGAAAUCCCGGGGCUCAACCUCGGAACUGCCUUUGAUACUGCAAAUCUCGAGUCCGGAAGAGGUGAGUGGAAUUCCUAGUGUAGAGGUGAAAUUCGUAGAUAUUCGGAGGAACACCAGUGGCGAAGGCGACUGCCUGGACGAACAUUGACGCUGAGGUGCGAAAGCGUGGGGAGCAAACAGG
Molecule: ribosomal RNA, 253 nt
Filed under: uncultured bacterium
Lineage: Bacteria
Description: partial 16S ribosomal RNA
Rfam family: Bacterial small subunit ribosomal RNA
Source: RNAcentral